Molecule: long non-coding RNA, 619 nt
Organism: Gossypium arboreum
Lineage: Eukaryota; Viridiplantae; Streptophyta; Magnoliopsida; Malvales; Malvaceae
Exons: 4
Source: RefSeq, a predicted model, not a curated record
AAGUAAACAUCUGUAUAAAAUAUAACCGAUGUCAAACUUUUUACCACUGGAAUUCGGCAGAGCUCAGCUCGGCUCGGCUUGCUUACUGGUCGUCGUUUUUACGUUUCCGUCUUCUCAUUUUCAUAUCAAACAGUAAAUCGAACAGCUACAAAAAUUCAAGCAAUAUGUUACCGACGGUUAGCAAAACGCGGUCGUCGAUCUCCACAUCACGUCCUAACGCCAUGUUCCCUCAGUAUCUCCGUCGAAUCGUCAAGUGGCAACAAAUGGAUAUUGAAUAUACAUUCUGGCAAAUGCUUCAUCUAUGUACUGCACCAAAGAAUGUCUAUCAGCACACAAAGUAUCACAAACGUAAGUAAUUUCUGUUAAAUGAAUGUGUUUUUUAUCUGAUUCUGCCGAGUUGGAGGACCAAUGUUAAUCACAGGAUGCCUUUUUCUUUUCCCAAGAGGAAUGCUGACUGCAAUAAUAGUUUGUCAAUUGACACUUGAUAGCCGACAAUUAGCUUGCAUUAGUCUAAAUUGUUGUGCACACUAUAUGUACUAUUUUAUGAUAGCUGCCAUCAUAUUUGGCAAGCCUUUAAGGCUGUAUGUGCUUUAAUAAAUUGAAUAAUUGAUUCACUGCA